RNAcentral lists this unclassified non-coding RNA (344 nucleotides) under Hevea brasiliensis (rubber tree). Lineage: Eukaryota; Viridiplantae; Streptophyta; Magnoliopsida; Malpighiales; Euphorbiaceae. The record is from RNAcentral.
GCAACCUCAAAUUUAUCAGCAGCCAUCAGUACAUCAAGCAAGGCAGGUGCUGUAGUAUUAGAUAAACUAUUGCUGUACAUAAAAUUCAGGAGGUCCAUGAGGGCAGCUUCCUCAGAAGCAUUGAUCCGUAGUGUCACAUGCCGCUGCUCUGACUCCCUCAUCCCAUUUGAGAAGAGCUUGUAGAAAAAUGGACUUUUUGCAGCUAAAAUGGGAGAGCUGAUGUGUAACGUUUUAACUCUCACAACAGUUGAGCAAUCCAUGUUCCAGGCUGGUUCAUUACCAUCUACAGCUUCAUCACCUGAAGGUGAUUGUUCCAUCAUUGCCACUGCUUCCUCAUCUUGAUU